Long non-coding RNA from Ziziphus jujuba (common jujube), 3242 nucleotides. RefSeq lists it as uncharacterized. Lineage: Eukaryota; Viridiplantae; Streptophyta; Magnoliopsida; Rosales; Rhamnaceae. The record is from RefSeq and is a predicted model, not a curated record. The transcript is spliced from 4 exons.
CGGCCACCCAUAGUCCACACGCGUUGGCCAGUGAUGAGCGGAGGGAGGAGGCGAGCUCGGCCGCCAAUUUUCACGGUCACCGGCGGCCGGACGCGCCCCGAUCGGGCCGGAGAAGCCGCCGGCCGGAAAAAUUUAUCUCUCCUCUUUUCUUGUGUUUUCCGGCCAACCCAGUCCAAAUUCAACCUCCUCUCCCCCUAUUUUGGGUCCUCUGAGUUCAAAAAUGGCCUCCAAUCUCAAAAAUUCGAAGCGGUUUGCGAGAUACGAGGAAUUGAAAACCGGCCGAAGCUUUUCGGCCAAAUUCCGGCCACCUCCGACGGAGUUGGGGUUGAUGGAGACCGGGUUUGUAAUCCUCGUCGCUCAAGCUUCGAUUCGGUAUAUUAUUCGACUAUUUUGGAUAACGUUUGUGUUUGACCCCCCGGGUACCGGGUAUUAUUUAUCCGAAUAAAAUAUUAAUUUAUUUGACUGUGUGUGAAUUGUGUUCUAGGAGCACCGGUGAGUCAUGGAAUUGAUCCCAUGGUGGAUCAUGGUUUAAUUGUGUGCUCCAGGUGAGUGACCCACCUUUAAUAAAUAUUUUGGGAUAAUUAAUUAUAUUUAAUUGCUGUUAAAUUGGUAUCUGAAAUUAUGCUCAUGUGGUGGAAUUUAAAUAUAGUAGGAAAAAAAAUAUUGUUUUAUAUAUAAUUACCCAUUGGUGCUAAAUGGAAUUUUGGGGUCAUUAAGAAAUUCUCGAUUCUUAUUUUAUGGUGAUUAAAUGGUAUUUAUUAUGCAUGAGCAAAGUAUAUUUCGGUAAUAAUCGUACGUGGUUUUAAGUAUUACUUUUUAGGCAUAAUUGGUUUGAAUAUUUAAGAAAAUUAUUUGUUCAAAUUGGUGGUUUAAUUUUAUAAAUUAUGCCCGCUGUAUUUUAAUCGUUGAACCUCGUACUACGAGAAAAUUAUGGUUUUGUUUGUUAUCGAUGUUUUCGUACCGGUUUGUUGAAUAAAAAUAUGUGGGAUGGUAAUUGAGAAAUUUUGGUAUAUUUUCCACGGUAAUUUUGGAAAAACGGUACGGUUGGUGUAAUAAUUAUUUUAGACGCACUCAUACAGUAUUGGUGUUCUGGUGUAUGGACACGUGGUUUAGCGCGCAAGAAUUAUGUGGUUUAACGCGCAAGUAUUAUUUCUCCCGUAGUUGCCAUUGGACCAUGGGCAGGCAAGUAUGUUAUUGGCCACAACCACCCCCCUCCUUGGCCGGGAUGAUGGUUCAGCAGCGGUAUUGUCAGGACGCCGAAGUGCCGUUUGCAAGUUUCUCUCUUUAAUCCCCCCCACCAGUCGGUGCUCAGGACGCUGGGUAUCGGAGGGCAUCAUUGGUAUAUGGUGUGGUGCACAAGUACAAAUUUUUCGGAUAGAAAUUUCAAACCCCAAAGAGUACAAAAUUAUUUAUUAUAAUUUAUUGCAGUUUAUUUAUAUUUGGGGUGUUUAUUUAUUUAUUUGUUGUUUAUUAAAUUAUUUGGUCCCUUGGUUUUCGGGAAGUACGAACAAAGGGUUUUGUGAAAAGGUUUUAAAAGGGGAACUUUUCCAACCGAGAGAAUUGUAAGGGUUUUAAGAGAAAUUAUUAUUUCCAAGUAAUUAUUAUUUACCUACGCUAUUACCGUGAUAUUAUAUUGUAUAGUAGAUAGGGUCACUCACUGAGAUGAUUAGCAUCUCACACUCUUAAAUUCCGUUCCUCUAGGUCCAGGUUGGAGACGUUGAUUGUCCGAGACGAGCCCAACGUCUCAAUUCGUUGCCGAAGGUUCAAGAAGUAUUUCUUCCCUUUUUCCUCUCCAUCCUGUAUUACUUCUUAUCUAUCAUUGUAUAAAUUUCACAUGUAUCUGUAUAAUGCUCUGUAUACUAUAUUGGACGUGUAGUUGUUCUUAUGCACUGGGUUGCUGCUGUUAUUAUUUGAAGUGCUGAAAUUUGUGGAAUCAAUUUGUAGUAUUGUGGGAGGAAUAAGGGGAUGUUUUUAGAAGUGUGUUUUCAGUGCAGGUAAAUUUUGGUUAGUCCUACCUUUAGGAGAGGUGCUGUCGGAUUUUCCGUUGGAAGGUUCGGUGGUAUUUCCCUGGGAUCAGGGCUUGUCUAGGGUUCCAGGGAGAAAUUCUGGACGGGUCCUGACAAGAAAGCAUGCUCCUCUACACGUUGAAGCAUGGAUGAAGAUCAAUGAGAAUGAAAGAAAAUGAAUCAGAGAUCUUUUACAGUUUAAGUUUGAUAUUGACCUAGAAGAUGAGAGAUAUGUUAACUAUGUCAAUACUUUAAUGGGCAAAGCAUAUAGUGAUUUUUGUCAUAGACUUCAUAUUCGCUUUUGGAGUUUGAGACUAUCGAAGAAGCUAAACAAUCUACUCCUCCCUUAGGCUUAAAGUAAGUGGAUUGGCAUCGACUAUGUGAUUUUUUUGGCACCAAUGCAAAAUAUCUGGUAUACGUGAUUAAUUUUUAUUAUAUUUAUGGUUAUUACAUUAUACUUUCAAAUUGAUUAAAGGUACCAUGUGCAACAUCGUUCACAAGUAAACAAAAAAAAUCAUGAAAAUGUGCCUUAUAGUCAUUAUGGAGGAUCGAAACCCUUUGUAUAUGAUCUUCAGGAAAAAUCAAAGGACAAACACUAGGAAGGGUGGACUUUUUUCAUAAUAUGCAUUAUCAUCAUAAAAAAGGUUGGAUCAAUAAGAUAGCUCGACAAAGAUAUGAGGACAUGCAUCAAAGACGUUCACAACUAUGUGAGGAAGGAUUUGAAUUGGUGGAUGAGAAUGUGAUUGCUGAUGAAGUAUUGGGAACUAGAGCAGGAUAUAUACCCGGCAUGGGAUAUGGUCCGAAACCAGCCUCAUAUUCUCGUAAAAGACAACCAUCACCAGGUACAAUUGCUUUGCAUGAGUGAUUGUCAAGUUUGAAAGAUGAAUAUGACUCAUACAGGCAACAAAGUGAAGAACGGAUGACAAUUUUAAAAGAAAAAUAUGACUCAUAUAGGCAACAAAAUGAAGAACGAAUGUCAAAAUAUGAAGAAGAUAUGAGCCAAAUAAAGAGUUUAUACGACAAAUUAUGGUACAACACUCUUGCUCUGGUGAUGGUACAUCUGUUUGUUUUCCUCCACCCCCUCCACCCCCUCCAUCAGCUGCUUGUUGAUAAAGAUGAAUAUUUUCAUUUUAUUGUGGUAGCUUUUGGAUUUUUAUUCACUUUUGGAUUUUAUUGUGGUAGCUUUUGUUCACUUACUUUUGUACAAUAUGAAAAUUUGUAUCAUAUUUGUGUUGA